AUUGAACGCUGGCGGAAUGCUUUACACAUGCAAGUCGAACGGCAGCACGGGGCAACCUGGUGGCGAGUGGCGAACGGGUGAGUAAUACAUCGGAACGUGCCCAAUCGUGGGGGAUAACGUAGCGAAAGUUACGCUAAUACCGCAUACGAUCUACGGAUGAAAGCGGGGGAUCGCAAGACCUCGCGCGAGUGGAGCGGCCGAUGUCAGAUUAGGUAGUUGGUGGGGUAAAGGCUCACCAAGCCAACGAUCUGUAGCUGGUCUGAGAGGACGACCAGCCACACUGGAACUGAGACACGGUCCAGACUCCUACGGGAGGCAGCAGUGGGGAAUUUUGGACAAUGGGCGCAAGCCUGAUCCAGCCAUUCCGCGUGCAGGAUGAAGGCCUUCGGGUUGUAAACUGCUUUGUACGGUAACGAAACGGACGAGCUCUAAUACAGUUGCUAAUGACGGUACCGUAAGAAUAAGACACCGGCUAACUACGUGCCAGCAGCCGAC
This 495-nucleotide ribosomal RNA is filed under the name uncultured bacterium. RNAcentral's name for it is "bacterial SSU rRNA". It matches the Rfam family "Bacterial small subunit ribosomal RNA", at positions 30 to 518 of the family's 1533-position model. The record is from RNAcentral.